UGUUGUUACUCGCCUCGGGCGGUUGGCGCAGUGGUAGCGCACUUCCCUGACACGGAAGGGGUCACAAGUUCGAAU
This 75-nucleotide transfer RNA is filed under the name Bifidobacterium animalis subsp. lactis Bl12. RNAcentral's name for it is "tRNA-Val". The stretch from base 17 to 75 matches the Rfam family "tRNA", at positions 1 to 58 of the family's 71-position model. From Rfam's summary of the family: Transfer RNA (tRNA) molecules are approximately 80 nucleotides in length. Their secondary structure includes four short double-helical elements and three loops (D, anti-codon, and T loops). Lineage: Bacteria; Bacillati; Actinomycetota; Actinomycetes; Bifidobacteriales; Bifidobacteriaceae. The record is from RNAcentral.